RNAcentral lists this ribosomal RNA (255 nucleotides) under uncultured bacterium. RNAcentral's name for it is "partial 16S ribosomal RNA". It matches the Rfam family "Bacterial small subunit ribosomal RNA", at positions 91 to 334 of the family's 1533-position model. The record is from RNAcentral.
UUUAGUGGCGGACGGGUGAGUAACACGUGGGUAACCUGCCCGGAAGUGGGGAAUACCUCGGGGAAACUCGAGCUAAUACCGCAUAACAUCUUCGGGACGAAAGUCCUGACGAUCAAAGCGGGGUCGCAAGAUCUCGCGCUACCGGAUGGGCCCGCGCCCGAUUAGCUAGUUGGUGGGGUAACGGCUCACCAAGGCUUCGAUCGGUAACCGGCCUGAGAGGGCGAUCGGUCACACCGGAACUGAGACACGGUCCGG